This 72-nucleotide transfer RNA is filed under the name Heterocephalus glaber (naked mole-rat). It matches the Rfam family "tRNA". Rfam says of the family: Transfer RNA (tRNA) molecules are approximately 80 nucleotides in length. Their secondary structure includes four short double-helical elements and three loops (D, anti-codon, and T loops). The record is from Rfam by way of RNAcentral. Lineage: Eukaryota; Metazoa; Chordata; Mammalia; Rodentia; Bathyergidae.
GGGGAUGUAGCUCAGUGGCACAGUGCCUGCCUGGCAGGCGCGGGGCCCUGAGUUCCAUUCCCAGUACCCCCC